GAGAUAUGUGGUCAGACCUGUC
This 22-nucleotide microRNA is filed under the name Xenopus laevis (African clawed frog). RNAcentral describes it as "Xla-Mir-2188-P1_3p* (star (passenger))". RNAcentral also lists the same sequence under 1 other name. Lineage: Eukaryota; Metazoa; Chordata; Amphibia; Anura; Pipidae. The record is from RNAcentral.